Molecule: ribosomal RNA, 605 nt
Filed under: Papiliotrema flavescens
Lineage: Eukaryota; Fungi; Basidiomycota; Tremellomycetes; Tremellales; Rhynchogastremaceae
Description: eukaryotic LSU rRNA
Rfam family: Eukaryotic large subunit ribosomal RNA
Source: RNAcentral
AUUCCCCUAGUAACGGCGAGUGAACCGGGAAGAGCUCAAAUUUGAAAUCUGGCGUGCUCAGUGCGUCCGAGUUGUAAUCUAUAGAGUCGUUUUCCGUGCCGGACUGUGUCCAAGUCCCUUGGAACAGGGUAUCAAAGAGGGUGAUAAUCCCGUACUUGACACAAUGACCGGUGCUCUGUGAUACGUCUUCUACGAGUCGAGUUGUUUGGGAAUGCAGCUCAAAAUGGGUGGUGAGUUCCAUCUAAAGCUAAAUAUUGGCGAGAGACCGAUAGCGAACAAGUACCGUGAGGGAAAGAUGAAAAGCACUUUGGAAAGAGAGUUAAACAGUACGUGAAAUUGUUAAAAGGGAAACGAUUGAAGUCAGUCGUGACUGAGAGGCUCAGCCGGUUCUGCCGGUGUAUUCCCCUCAGUCGGGUCAACAUCAGUUUUGUUCGGUGGAUAAGGGCAGUUGGAAGGUGGCACCCUCGGGUGUGUUAUAGCCAGCUGUCGCAUACAUCGGAUGAGACUGAGGAAUGCAGCUCGCCUUUAUGGCCGGGGUUCGCCCACGUUCGAGCUUAGGAUGUUGACAUAAUGGCUUUAAACGACCCGUCUUGAAACACGGGACC